AACCUAGCACACCUGCGGUGUGUACCUGCGGAAGGAUCAUUACCGAGUUUACAACUCCCAAACCCCUGUGAACAUACCUAUACGUUGCCUCGGCGGAUCAGCCCGCGCCCCGUAAAAAGGGACGGCCCGCCCGAGGACCCCUAAACUCUGUUUUUAGUGGAACUUCUGAGUAAAACAAACAAAUAAAUCAAAACUUUUAACAACGGAUCU
This 210-nucleotide unclassified non-coding RNA is filed under the name soil metagenome. Its description in RNAcentral is "partial contains 5.8S ribosomal RNA, internal transcribed spacer 2, and large subunit ribosomal RNA". The record is from RNAcentral.